RNAcentral lists this ribosomal RNA (468 nucleotides) under Sugiyamaella sp. RNAcentral describes it as "partial large subunit ribosomal RNA". It matches the Rfam family "Eukaryotic large subunit ribosomal RNA", at positions 128 to 601 of the family's 3401-position model. Lineage: Eukaryota; Fungi; Ascomycota; Dipodascomycetes; Dipodascales; Trichomonascaceae. The record is from RNAcentral.
UGGCGCAAGCCCGAGUUGUAAUUUGAAGAAGGUAAUUUUUGGGGGGAUGUCGACAAAAGUUCCUUGGAAUAGGACGUCAUAGAGGGUGAGAAUCCCGUUUUGUUGACCUCUCUCUCCUUGUAAAAUGCCUUCGAAGAGUCGAGUUGUUUGGGAAUGCAGCUCUAAGUGGGUGGUAAAUUCCAUCUAAAGCUAAAUAUUGGCGAGAGACCGAUAGCGAACAAGUACAGUGAUGGAAAGAUGAAAAGAACUUUGAAAAGAGAGUGAAAAAGUACGUGAAAUUGUUGAAAGGGAAGGGUUUUAAGGGAGACAUGGGGGGUAAUGAACAAUUUUCCUUUGGGAAGGUGCACUCAUUACGUUCUGGGCCAAUAUGGGUUUGAAGAGUAGGAUAAAAGGUUUGGAAUGUGGCCCUUGGGUGUUAUAGCCUCUCCUAAUACUACUACUUUGGACCAAGGAACGCGAUUUCUAGGA